UAACCAAACAAAAAAAUGAAAUAAUGAAACCCUUCAUUCAUUCUAUUUAUCUCCAACCCAUUCAUCUCAAACAAUUCAUUGCUGUCAAGUCUUCCCAUUCAUCUCCAACCCUUCAUCGGCGUUGAUUCCUCCUAUUCGCUUCCAACUCUUCAUCGAUGUUGAUUCGAUAAACUUCAGUCGGCGCCGCCACUAGUUCUAUCUUACCCUAUUGAAACAUCACUCUAAAUCUCAAUUGCACGAUUCUCAAACCCUAUUGACACAUACCAAUGGUGCCACGAAGAUGGCUAAAGAAGUGUUUAAGUCACUCUUUCAGGAUAAAGAUGUUACUGAGAUGGGAUACCAAUAUAACACUUAGAGUACAAAAAAUAAAAGAUAACAGUAGCUUGGCUUGGCUGUAAGCACUUCUUAUGUUCAAUUGAGUUUAGAUGUGUUAUUCUAAACACAUGGACUUGUACCAUCUUUAAGUCAAGGCCUAGUCAUUAGGAUGAUUUUGGAUUUUAAUGCAUUGUAAUACUCUAUUUAAUUAAUAGCAAAGAGUUCUCUUUUUUUUAAGUGUGUGAAAUAUUCAAUAAGAAUCUAUAUAUUAAUCUUCCAUGAUUUAUAUGUUGAG
Long non-coding RNA from Vicia villosa (hairy vetch), 610 nucleotides. RefSeq lists it as uncharacterized. The record is from RefSeq and is a predicted model, not a curated record. NCBI's taxonomy places the organism in Eukaryota, Viridiplantae, Streptophyta, Magnoliopsida, Fabales, Fabaceae. The transcript has 4 exons.